This 17763-nucleotide long non-coding RNA is filed under the name Populus trichocarpa (black cottonwood). Its description in RNAcentral is "long non-coding RNA (PTRI_LNC001809)". The record is from RNAcentral. Lineage: Eukaryota; Viridiplantae; Streptophyta; Magnoliopsida; Malpighiales; Salicaceae.
CAAAUAGCUUCAAUUAAGACUACUUGUUUAUUACCUCAACCAGAAAUCAAACCAAGUCCAAACCAGGGAAGCAAUUAACCAUACACCUACCUUCUCCUUUGCUUCCCAAAAACCAUUCUUAAUUUCUUUCAUUCUCUGUUCCAGAGAAACAAUGGAGGCGGAAAAUGAUCAAGCACAAGAAUUCAUUUUCAGGUCCAAACUCCCUGAUAUCCACAUCCCAAACCACCUCCCUUUACACACUUAUUGCUUUGAAAACCUUUCCCGAUUCAAAGACAAUCCCUGUUUGAUCAAUGGCCCUACCGGUGAAAUCCACACCUACGCGGAUGUUGAGCUCACAUCACGCAAAGUCGCUUCCGGCCUCAACAAGUUAGGCAUCAAACAAGGCGAUGUUAUAUUGCUGUUGCUCCAAAACUCGCCAGAAUUUGUGUUUGCGUUUCUCGGAGCAUCAAUUAUUGGUGCUAUUAGCACAACCGCAAACCCCUUCUACACUCCCGCUGAGGUCGCAAAACAAGCAACAGCAUCAAAGGCAAAGCUGAUAAUUACACAGGCAGUUUACGCCGAGAAAGUGCAAGAAUUCGUCAAGGAAAAUGUUCAUGUCAAAAUAGUGACCGUUGACUCUCCACCAGAAAACUACUUGCAUUUUUCAGAGUUGACAAAUUCUGAUGAGGAUGAUAUUCCUGCUGUCGAGAUUAACCCUGAUGAUGUCGUGGCACUCCCUUAUUCGUCAGGGACAACAGGUCUCCCUAAAGGUGUCAUGUUGACUCAUAAAGGGCUCGUUACUAGUGUGGCACAACAAGUUGAUGGAGAGAACCCUAACAUCUAUUUUCACGAGAAGGAUGUGAUUCUUUGUGUGUUGCCUUUGUUCCACAUCUACUCGCUCAAUGUGUUCCUUAGUGGGCUAAGAGUUGGUUCAGCAAUUUUGCUUAUGCAAAAAUUCGAGAUUGUUACGUUAAUGGAGCUUGUACAAAAAUAUAAGGUGACAAUUGCGCCAUUUGUCCCCCCUGUCGUCCUCGCAGUUGCAAAAUGUCCAGUCGUUGAUAAGUAUGAUCUUUCUUCCAUUCGGACCGUAAUGUCUGGCGCCGCACCAAUGGGGAAGGAGCUUGAGGAUACAGUAAGGGCUAAGCUGCCUAAUGCUAAACUUGGACAGGUACAGAGUUGAUCUACUUUUUAAUUAUUAUUUUUUAGUCUUUCUUGUUCUAUAGCACAAAAAAAAAAAAAAAAAAAACAAUUCUCUUGAAUCCUUGCAAAUUAGUAAUGUUAACAAUCCAAGGAAUUAUUUUGCUCCUUGUUUAUUUGUGAAGGGAUACGGAAUGACAGAGGCAGGACCCCUAUCGAUGUGCUUGGCAUUUGCAAAGGAACCCUUCGAAAUUAAAUCAGGUGCCUGUGGGACUGUUGUUAGAAACGCCGAGAUGAAGAUUGUUGACCCCGAUACCGGUAGAUCCCUGCCACGAAAUCAAGCCGGAGAGAUUUGCAUUAGAGGCAGCCAAAUCAUGAAAGGUACACGUUUCUACCAACUAUCUCCUUUAGGGUGGAAAUGGAUUGGUUUACCUUCUUUUUUUUUUAGUUAUAUAACAAACUAAAAUUGUUUCAAGAGAAGAAAGCACAUGUACCACAAAUAAGAGGAUUACCCCACGAGAGACUCCUCUAGUCAGUAAAAAGCAUCAAAACUGAACUAAAUAUUUGGUAAGGUUGACUAUUGGUGUGGUGGGCCUAGUGACUCCUCGUUUUUUUUUUUUUUUAAACAUUUGUAGUAAUCUGAACCACAUUCUGAGGUGAGGUUUGAGGAGGUAGCUAAACUUUUUAAGUUUUGGAUUUUUUUUUUUUUAGAAAUUAUUAAUUCAAGUUUUAUAAAUUUCAAGGCCACUAGAAACUUACAUGAUCGAUAAUUUUAAUUAGGGCCUGUGGAAUUAGUUGAGGUGCGCGCAAGCUGACCCGGACAUCCACGUUUAUCAUAAAAAAAAAAAAAAAAACUCAUUCCAGUAUAACAAUUAAAAAACCACACAGACACAUAUCCCAAAUGAAUUUUGGUUUUAACGCUUACUAAUGGCUAAAUUUUGGUGGAGGGUGGGUGGCCAGAGCCAGGGGUAGGCAGAACGAAAAAGUGACAAACCAAUAUAAAUUUUGUAACCUUAGGUUGAUUAGUAUGGAAGUUUUCUUGCUCCCAAUAUUGUAAUUCUCCUUACAUGCGUAUUUCUUAGAUUGUGACUUGCAAAUCGUGACCGACCGAAUCACCACUACGAUUUUUCUUCUUUUUUUAAUGUUUUGCUGCUAUAAUUUCUUUUCUGUAAUGAACAAGUUUCAUGAAAAAGAUCUUUCUAUCCCUCCAAGUCAAGUGAGUUUGCUCUCCAAAAAUAAAAUAAUAAUUUUACUGUGCAAGGUCGAAAUAUAAAUGUGUGCAGUAAAUCAGUGAUCUUUUAGGAUAUUGUAUAAUAAUUUGUUGUUUUACAACCCUUUUAUGUAAUUAUAAUAACUUUGAGGGGUCUAACUCAACUGGUCAUACUCUAGGUUUACUCUCUAAAGGUCACCAGUUCAAGUCCCACAAAUCUCAGGGCCAAUGGAGACUUACAUGAUCGUUAACUUUAAGACCCGUGAAAUUAGUCGAAGUACGCGCAAGCUGGUCCGGACACCCACGUUAAUAAAAAAAAUUAUAAUAGGACUUGUAGACACAUAGUCCACUAUCCAUGUGCGUUGUUGGAAAUGCGGGCCAACCCGCGUUUCCAAAAAGUUCAUUUUGUUUUGCUAAAAAUUAAUUUUUUAUAUAUUUUGGAUCAUUUUGAUGCGCUGAUCUCAAAAAUAAUUUUUAAAAAAUUAAAAAAAUAUUAUUUUAAUAUAUUUCAACAUGAAAAACACUUUAAAAAAUAAUUACUACUACACUUUCAAUUAGACCCAUGUGAUGCAUGCUCGCCUCUCUCUUGCUGUUGUGUGAAAAAGCAUUGAAGGCUAUGUUUGUUUUCCAGAAAAUAGUUUCCGGGAAAUCACUUUCCAAACUUUCUUGUGUUUGUUUACCAUUAUAAAAAUUAGUCAAUGGAAAACACUUUUCGAUCAACGGAAAAUAUUUUUCAGUCAACAGAAAACACUUUCCAGUCAAAUGAAAAUUUGGCUUGGUUUUCAGGAAAGUGUUUUCCUUUUAUUUUUGGGCGGAAAACACUUUCCGGAAGUUGUGAAAAAUUUAGGCUGUGUUUGUUUCCCGGAAAGUGGUUUCCAGAAAACCACUUUCCAAACUUUCCCGUGUUUGUUUGCUAUUAGGAAAGGUGGUCAACGGAAAACACUUUCCAGUCAAAGGAAAAUUUGGCUUGGUUUUCAGGAAAGUGUUUUCCUUUAUUUUGGGCGGAAAACACUUUCUGGAAGUUGUGAAAAAAUUAAAAAUAUCAUAUUAUUUGCUAAUUAUAUCAAAUUUGGUCCUCAAACUUUUGAUUGCUAUAUAUAUUUUGUUUUGAAUAUUUGUUUUUCAAUUUCAUCCUUAAAAUUUAUUUUUUAUAUUAAUUUUGGUUCUCAUUUUUAUAAUUGUUAUUUGCUUUUCCCUUGUUAUUUUUUAAUUGAAAUAUUUUAUCUAUCAAAUUUGAUCCUCAUUCUUUUGAUUGUUACUUAUUUUAUUUGAAAUAAUUUAUGAAAUGUUAAUUAUUAUUAUUUUAAUUUCUUCAUCUUUCAAUUUUUUAUUUUUUAGAUUUGAUCUCUAUUAUUUUGAUUAUUAUUUAUUUUAAUUGAGAUAAUUUAUGAAAUUAUAUUUUUUUUAAUUUCAUUCUCAUUCAACUUUUUAAUUUGUAAGAUUUAUUCAUCAUUAUUUUAAUAAACUUGAAAAAAAUAAAACAUUAAUAAGUUAUUUUCCAGCUCGUUUUCCAUGACAUAACCAAAUACUGGAAAGUGUUUUCCAAUUUAUUUUUCAUUACACUACCAAACAUCGGAAAAUAAUUUACUUUCCCGGAAUUCUCUUUUCAAAAAACAACUAUUUUCUAGCAAACAAACAGGGCCGAAGUCUUCGUUCAAGUUAUGAGUUGCUGUUCCUUUAAAAAAUAUGGGUCCUAGGCUUACAACCAUGGGCGUGCAAGUUCUUUCUCCACUGUUUUUAAAUUGAUUUAUGUAUGGAUUAAAAUUAAAUUUAUUUUUAUAUAAUACCAAGAACAAUUUCCCUAGAUACUAACUUAUUUGUAAGCUGUGCAUGCUAUGUUGCGGAAAUGCAGUCUACUUAUUUUAUAUAAAUGUGUGCGUAUUGGCUGAGUUGUCCAUGAUGUUUUAGUUAGGUGGUUCCAACUAAUUUGAAGACAAAACUAUUAUAGGACAGGAACUUACCUCAAGUUUUAUAAAUUUCAAGAUUAUUAAAAAUUUAUAUAAUUAUUAAUUUCAAAACUUAUAAAAUUAAUCAAAAUAUGUUUAUAUUAGCUUAAACAACAUAUUAAUAAAAAAUAAAAUAUUGAUUUCUUAAUUAAGUGACUUAGUGUGUGAUUUCUUAAUUAAGCGAAGGAGAGUCAUUAUUAUUUGGUAUUCAAACGGGAGAAUCAUUAGCUUAUUUAGCAUUAACGCAACGCCCAAAAGUCUCCAAAAGGUAAGGGGAAAAAACAAAUUUAAAGUCAAAGAUGAAGGGAUCAUUGCAUUAACCAACUUCAAAGAAACUUUAACCAUAUAUGGACGUAUACACACACACUGAUAAAAUAAUAAUAAUAAUAAUAAUAAUAAUAAUAAAGAAGCAUUGGAAAGGAUGUAUUAUGGGUAAUAUAAAAAAAUAAAAUAAAAAGAUAAUUCCCUAAAAGUUUGAAUUUUCUCAAUAUUGCUUUUGGUUAGGUUAUCUAAAUGACCCUGAGGCCACUGAAAGGACUGUAGACAAUGAUGGAUGGUUGCACACCGGCGACAUUGGAUACAUCGACGGAGAUGAUGAGCUCUUUAUCGUUGAUCGAUUGAAAGAAUUGAUUAAAUACAAGGGUUUUCAAGUAGCACCUGCUGAGCUUGAAGCAAUGUUGAUUGCUCAUCCCGACAUCUCUGAUUGUGCUGUAGUACCGUAAGUCCUAUUACAUAUUUGUUUAUCAGUGUGUACAAUCCCAACAAGCUUUAGUAAUAUAAUAUUUCUUGGUUUCCAUUAAGACCUAUGCUUCUAAUAUAUAAUCAGUAGUACCAUUUUUUGUGUGGGUAUUUCAGCAUGAAAGAUGAAGCUGCCGGAGAGGUUCCUAUUGCUUUUGUGGUGCGAGCAAAUGGUUCCAAGAUCACCGAGGACGAAAUCAAACAAUAUAUCUCAAAACAGGUACUAAUUAACAUUUUAUGAAUCAAUUAAAUAGUUUAAAAAUCACAUGUUGAAGGACUUGAUAUUACAUUAGAAUUACAAUUAUAAAAUAUACCUAUAAAUCUCAUGACCAAUAUCAAAUUUCUAUGAAAAGAACUCUUUCAUUUACCAUUUUCCUUUCUCCUCCUUUAUCACUAUCUAUAUUUUUAGAAUUUUAGUUUGAUUCAAAAGUUUAUUUUAUUUAUUUAUUAGUUCAUUGAUGUAAGAGAGAAGAGAGAAAGUCACAAAUAGCAAUGAUAAGGAGAGAAAAUUAUUGGUUGACCACAUUCCAAAAACUAAAAAGAUCAAUCUUGAUGUCAAUGAAUUUCAUUCAAUGAGAGAACUUUCAUUGAGGUGUUUUUGAACCUUCACCUUGCUCAAAAAAUGGAUCGGGAUUGAGAGAAAUUUUUUUAUGGUUUGAUUCUGUAUUUUUAACCUUUUUUGAUUGGAUAAAUUGUUUUUUUUUAAGAUUCCAAGGAUAUUUAUCAAGUGUUUUUAGAUGAAAAUGGGUUGUAAAAUAUAUUUUUAGGCAAAUCCAUUCGAUUUUCUAGAUUCUGGGCAAAUAAAUGAUGCAUGUGUUCUACAGCAAAUAACAUGUUAUAUGUUUCUCCUCUUUUUUUUUUUUCAGAAAAAUAAAGUCAACCACCCUUUAAAAAAUAAAAUAAAAAACUAAAAAAUCCUAAGUGUACGAGCUUGGUCAAGAAGACCCACCCGCUUGUGCUUUGUUCUAGGCAUGUUAGGCAACCUAAGCCCACAUACUUAAAAUUGUUUUAUUUUUUUUUUAAUUUUAUCUUUCAAUAUUAAGUUUUUGUUGAAUUUUUUUAUUGGCUUUCUCCCUCCCAUAUCCUCCUUCAACAUUUGAUUGAUUUUGAAUCCAUUUUUAUAAUUUGUUUCGAUUUGCUUUCUAUAGGUUAUUGCGGUCUCAAAUAAAUAUCCGGUCAUUUAGUUGGUGCUUAAUUUUGCAUCUAUCCAUUUUUAUUUUUAUAUAAUUAAAAAAAUAGUUCUAAAAACAAUUAUUAAACGCAUUGGAGUCCCUGAUUUGAAUAGCAGAUUUGUUAGAGUAACUUAGGUUGAUUGAAAAUUAAGUUUCAUAAUUUGUUUUAGUUUAUUUUCUAUAGGGUUAUCGUGGUCUCAAACAAACAUCUCAGUAAUAGGUUGGUGCUCAAUUUUUCUAGCGUCUAUUUUUUUUAUCAUAUAUUUAAAUUAAAAAAUAGUUUAAUAGUUUAACAAAAAAAAGUUAUUAAACCUAGUAUAGUCCAUGACCCGGAUUGUAGUUUGACAGACUAAGUUGUGAGACCCGGGACAAUCCAUCACUUAUUGUCUUAAUACGUUAGAUGGGUCACGUAGAGACAACUCACAUACUACUUAAUUUGAAACCUAGGCUAAUCAAGGAAUCAGGUCGGGAGGUUACAAGGUUAACCCACUAAACCGAGUUUGAUGACAUUAUCAAGAGUUACUGUAGAUUAUAUAAUUUUUAUUUUUAUUCAAUUUUUUUUGUAUCUGCCCACAGCAUAGCGUAGCCCAAUAAUCUUGUGAUCCGUAUUUGACUUCUAAUUCUAGCUUCAUGGUGUAUGUGAUAUGGCACGUAGCAGUAGCUAUUUAACAAGUAUAUAGAACCACAUUAUUAGAUUAGUAUAAUAUUAAUUCAUCCCUUGGAACAUAUAUCUAUUGUCAAGUAAUUUGCUACGACAUGUUGCUUGCCUUAACUAGAUUUUAGCGAUCUCUAGUCACUAAAAAAACUUAUUCAUGGCUUCAAACAAUCUAAAAAAUAGCUUGUAAAAUCCAUAAUCAACUCGAAAUUAAAAUUUUUUGUGAGCUCAGAUCUACAAUAUAAGACAUGUUCAUGGGAAAAACAAAAUAUAGGAUAAACUCUCCCCGCUAAUAGCAAUCUAUUGACAUCAGAAUCACCAUUUUUCAUGGUUUUAAUUGAUGUAAAUGAUGAUUUUCUCUUUCUACUACUAGAAUUCAACCACUUCCUCUCUUCUCUCUUAAACUAGGGAUCAAAAAAUAAAAAAAAUAAAGUUUUAGACAAAAAAUUACUUUGUUCAUAAUUUUUGAAAAUUAAAGGAACCAAAACUGAACAUUUCACCCAAACUUGUCUAAAUCCUCCUGUUCCCUCCAUGUUUUUCACUUUGAUCCCCUGUUUUUUAAUAUCACAAUUACCUAACAAAUUAACCUAAUUUGGCCUCCAAUUUAGCAAUUUAAGUUUGAAAUUAGAAAAAAAAAGAUUUUGAACAAAAUUUUUUUAUUGUGGAAGUCCAUAAUGAAUUGUGAGAGGAGUUAUAGGGAGCAGGGAUGAACAAUCCAAGCCUUUUAGAGUAUUUGUAAUUCUCCUAAACUUAUUUAAAGCCAUCUAUUUUCUUCAUGUUUUUCACUUUGAUCCCUAUAUUUUAAUAUCAUUAUUUCUUAACAAAUUAACUUAAAUUGACGUCUAAUUUAGCAAUUUAAGGAUGAAAUUUUUUAAAAAAGUUUUAGAAUAAUAUAAAUUCACAAUAAAAGUCCACAGUUAAUUGUGAAAGGGGCUAUAGUGCAUAGAAAGCAGUAUUUUCCUCACUACUUGUAGAGUAUUUGCAAUGAUGAUAUUAAAAGCAUUAAUUUUUCGGAAAUCAUAAACUUGAAACCUAUUUAAAGUUUACAAUAUAUUCAAUAGAAUUUAUACCAUAUACUUUUAUGGGUUAUAUAGUUCGCAUUUUGAUAAUUUAAUUAAAUGGGUGUGAUGAUUUGUUGUGUAGGUGGUCUUUUACAAGAGAAUUAGUCGGGUGUUCUUCACGGAAGCGAUUCCCAAGGCUCCAUCCGGAAAAAUCUUGAGAAAAGACCUAAGAGCAAGGCUUGCAACUGGCGAUCUUCCUCAUUAAAUUCCAACAUGACACAUACAUGCAAAAACAGCAGUAGUCUGAAGUCCAGAGGCAGUAUGUGGUCUUGCUGUGUUUUCCUUUCCUUAUCGGCCCUCCAAAAGGGACAGGAGAACAUAUAGACUGGAUUAUUUCAAUGAUCAGCUUGUUCUUAUCCUUCAAUGCAAGUUGAAUAGAAGAAUGAGCUUUGUAUUAAUUAAUAUGCUCAGGGUAUUGUAGGACAUGUUUUUGACGACGUUAAAAACUUGGGACGGAAAAUUCUGGUUUGUAUAAUUGUAUCAAUUUGCGUUACAUAUAAUAAGUCUCGUUUCCUUUAUUUUCUUAUUAUUUCACAUGAGUUGUAUUUAUUUAUUUAUUAUGUAAUUGGUUUUUUAUUUUUUGGUAUAAUGUUGGAUUUGGCUACACACGCAGGAGUAGUUAAAAUUCCCACUCUCAAAUUCUCCCUCUCCCUCUCAAUGCUUGAUGGUCGCCGGAAUGGAGGCUUCUCUUGAUUAGCCUACCUUUAAAUGAUGCUAUCAAGGUAAGUUGAAGUUAAGCUGAUGUUAUUAUAACUGUUACUUUAGCUAUGAAUAAGAUCUUGUGGCCUAGAAUAUUUAAUGGUUAAGCAAUUAUGAGAUAACUAGAUAAUUUAUCACGCAACAUAGCAGGUUCGAUUAUUUAUUUUUAAUGUAAACAAAUAUUUAAAAAUAUUAACGUGUUUUUCUAACCGAUUUAAUAUUAAAAAAUAAAAUGAAAAAAAAUCAAUUUAAAAAAAAUAAAAAAAACAAAGUUAACCUUUGUCGCACGUCACCCGCGCGGCGUAGUGUGGUGAUUUUUUGUUUUGUUUGCUUGAUUCGUUGGGAGUCGUCACCUGGUAUUUAAUUGAGGGUUACUAGAAAACCCGGAUGCACUGGUCUUGUCAGAGAUUCACGGGUAAAGAACAGGACUGGUUGUAGUUGGGAAGGUAUUAACACCCCGAACACACCCUAUCUAAGAUAAACUGCUUUAUGGCUUUGAUGUAAUUUAAAAAAUAAAAUAUUAGCCAAAUUCUAAAACUUUAAUAAAUUAGUUAUUAAAUGCCAGAAUAUAUGAAAAAACAUAUUCUUAUAUUUUCAUGAAAAAUACAACAUAAUUUUAUUUGUUUGACCAUAUAAAUUAAAACAUUAAAUUCAUUUUUUUAUCUUUUUGAUUCAAUAACAUACAUAAAAAAAAAUACAAACACAAACACAUCUCUUUUUCUAUUUUUUUUUUACCCCCAUUUACAUGUUUCGAAUCACAAAUAUUUAAAAUAAAUCAAACAAACAUAUUACACAAAUUAAAAAUUACAAAAUAGCCCCUAAAGAUCUGAGAAAACUGCUGGGAAGUCUUCUGAACCACCGGAAUAGUGCCGGCGCGUCUUCUCCACGCUGGGGGGUGGCGGCUUAGAGAAGAGAUAAAUUUAGGGUUUCCUUUUUUUUUUCCUCCUCUCCAAACUAGCCCCUCUCCCCUUUGUAAAUCCCCCCCCCUCCCGAAAUUUUUUUUUUUACUUAUAUUUAUAUGUAAAAUGUUGCUUGGUCGUAAAAAAUGGUCCCUCAACUUUAUUUUUCUCUUUUUUUUUGUAAAUUUUGAAUUUUUGAAUUUUUUUUGUAUUUUUUAAAAGCGAACAAUAUCAACAUCAACUCAAUGAGAAAAAUCAAUUAUUUUAAAAACGACGCGUGAAAAUUUGAACACAUUCAUAAGACCUUUAAAAAUUUAAAUUCUUUUGAGACGAUGCUAAAAACGCUAAAAACGAUGCAAAUAUAUUAAAAACAAUUUUUUUGGAUUUUUUUUGUUUUUCGCUAUUUUUGGAUUUUUCAAAAAUUUUAUCAAAUAAAUGGGUCAAAAAUUGGGUAACAACAAAUGCCCCCUCUUUACAAUGCUUACAAAACAAAACUCCUCAAUGUUUUUGCAUAGUAAGCUUUGUAAAGAAAAGAAAAGGAAAAUAAUCUCAUUAUUUUGGGCAACCUGCCCCUUUUGAAGAAAAGUGGUCUAUUUUCAGGGGCGACCAGCCCACACACUCACACUGGUCUAUUUUCACAGGCGACCUGCCCAUACACACUCAAAGUGGUCUAUUUUCAGGAGCGACCAGCCCACACACUCACACUGGUCUAUUUUCACGGGCGACCUAUCCACUCAUACUCACUUUGGUCUAUUUUCAAGGGCGACCUGCCUUUUUGAUUGGGUUUACCUGAGAUCCCAUCUGGCGAUCUAACAAGAACCAAAAUCAGUAUGUAGCUCGGUCAACCUGAAAUCCCAUCUAGCGAUUCCCUUUAACCAAAGCUAAAUUCUGCGUGGUUAGGCUAAACUGAGAUCCCUUCGCCGAUCCCCUUUAACCAGAACCAAAAUCCUUUGUAGUUAGGCUAAAUUGAGAUCCCUUCGCCGAUCCCCUUUAACUAGAACCAAAGUCUGUGUGUGGUUAGACUAAAAUGAGAUCCCUUUCGCUGAUCCCCUUUAACCAAAACCAAAAUCUGUAUGUGGUUAGGCUAAACUAAGAUCCCUUCGCCGAUCCCUUUUAACCAGAACCAAAGUCUGUGUGUGGUUAGGCUAAACUGAGAUCCCUUUCGCCGAUCCUCUUUAACUAGAACCAAAAUCAUGUGUGUGGUUAGGCUAAAUUGAGAUCCCUUCGCCGAUCCCCUUUAACCAGAACCAAAAUCUUUUGUAGUUAGGCUAAACUAAGAUCCUUCCGUCGAUCCCUUUUAACCAGAACCAAAGUUUAUGUGUGGUUAGGCUAAAUUGAGAUCUCUUUCGCCGAUCCCCUUUAACCAGAACCAAAGUCUGUGUGUGGUUAGGCUAAACUGAGAUCCCUUUCGUCGAUCCCCUUUAACCAGAACCAAAAUCCUUUGUAGUUAGGCUAAACUGAGAUCCAUUUCGCCGAUCUCCUUUAAUCAGAACCAAAGUCUGUGUAUGGUUAGGCUAAACUAAGAUCCCUUUCGGCGAUCCCCUUUAACUAGAACCAAAAUAUAUGUGUUUUGGCUAAACUGAGAUCCCUUUGCCGAUCCUCUUUAACUAGAACCAAAAUCUGUGUGUUUUGGCUAAACUGAGAUCCCUUUCGCCGAUCCUCUUUAACCAGAACCAAAGUCUGUAUGUAGCUCGGUCAACCUGGAAUCCCAUCUGACGACUCCUUUCAACCAAAGCUAAAAUCUUCAUGUUGUGGUUAACCUGAGAUUCCUUCUGGCAAUUUCCUUUAACCAAAAAAUAUGUUUCUUCUUCAAGAUGAUAGGGUUCGAAUUGAAGACUCUUCUUCGUUGAUCUUCAUAUUUCUUCGAGAUUUCCCUAAUGUUAGGGUUUAUCUCAUCUUCCUCCCAUUCCAAGGUCAAAACCAUGAUUCUUUGUUGUUCAUCAACUCAAUGAUUCUUUUUUUUUCCCAAUCUUGUUGGACUACAUUGAGGAUUUUUCCUGCAACAAAUCAAAAAUAUAUGCAAUGCUUCGACGUUAGAUGACAUGCAUGCAUCCUCACCUGAAUUGAAAUAUAGGUCCCCCCUCAUCGAUGUUCCAUCAUCACAGGGUGCCUUUGUUUGUUAUUCAAAGCUUUCUUUAUUCUUUCAAUGUAUUGGUUCAUUCGUGUGCUAGCCUUCCACUCAGAUGUAAGUGCAGUGUCUAUCGUGGGCUGUCCAUGACGAUUACUGCUCUCAUUGCUUCUCAAGCUUGAUCAUGCUUCCAAGUGUGGCGUUGCUCGAUUCAUCAUGAAGGAGUUGAACAAAUCAUCCAUCUCCUAGAUUCUCUCAAGAAUUGUCCUUUGAUUGGUUGUGCGUGCUUUGCCAACACCCAUCAAGAUGUUUUCUAGUGUUUAACCUCAUUUUAGAUUGUCAAUCAAUCAUGGACUUGCCCCCAAUUGAAACAAUACUCUUCAGGUAUAUGUUAUCAUCAGUCUUCUUGGAAACUAUCAAAUCAUCCAGACAUGCAUCUCAUAGCUUGCAGUACAAAGGCUCAUGGUUGUAUGCUCAAUAUUCUUCUCAAUAGAUUCCUCUCAACUCUUCUAAUUAGUUUGUGAAAAGAAAUGUCUCGACCUCAUUAAUGAUGUUGCUUUUAUCACCCAAACUCAUGUGGUGAAGUGCAUAUUUGGCUUCAAAACGAAAUGUCCCACAAUUAGUCUUCAGGGUGGGUGCCUUUCCAACAUUCAUUCAAUGCAGUCGUAUGAUAAUAUCUGUCGAUAACCAUGUUUCAAAGGAUGAUAAUAUGAAAUUAUCCUUCAAGUACAACAUUGUUCCACAAUCAGUCUUGGUGGUGUGCAUCUUUUCGCCAUUCAAUUACAUUCAUUUGUGUAUCCUCAUCGAUUGAUAGCCAUGUUUCAAAAGAUAAUGAUAUGAAAAUGUCCUUUAGGUACAUCUUUGGUCCGCCAUUAGUCUUGGUGGUGUGCACAUCUUUUCGAUAUUCAUUCAAAUGCAAUUGUAUGCCCACAUCGGUCGAUAACCAUGUUUCAAAAGAUGACGAUAUAAAGAUGUCCUUCAAGUACAUCUUUGUUUUCUCGAUUGUUGUCAGGGUUCACUAAAUCAUGGACUAUCUUUGAACAAUAUUGCCCCCAGGAUGAUCUGAAUGUGCUUGUUCAUUGAUUAUCUUUCUUUGAACACCAUUGUCUUCAGUUCACUGAUUCAUCAUUUAAUCAUCUUUCAUUGUCUCGUAGCUGUUCUGAAUACUGCUUGUUUUUUCCUUCUCAGGGUGUGGCGUUAAUGUCAUUUCUAUCAAGGAUUUCACAUACUCAAUCGAUGUUCUUCUGUGUUCAAUAAUCUCCCUUGUUUUGGAAUCAACUCUCAUAUUUCAAAGAUCAUGUCUAUUCAAAGUCUAGUUUGUUGAAAUGAAAUCAGAGAUGUCCUUUUUUUGAAAAGACCUUUUGAAAAUCAAGUUUUUUUUUUCAAAUAUCCAACACACGUUAUUUGAAAUAUACAGUCCUUUGAUUGUCAUGUAUUUUGAAAACAGAAAUUGACCCGUUGUAAGACUAAGAUGAACUUUUUUUUUCAUGGUUCUUUGUAUCCAUUUUAGAUUCUGAUUUUGGGUAUAUAUUUUGAUGGUCUGUGAUGAGGUGACCUUUUUUAUGAAUUUCAAAAAACAAGAUGUUUAAGUCAAAACUCAGGCUGUAUCAAAAAAGGUUGUUUCUCUUCUUAGCACUUAUUUUAUCAACAUGCAUAACAACCAAUAGCUUAAUUCAUGAAGUCACGACCCUUAUGGAAAAGCUCUUCAAGUUUUGAGAGCGCCAUUUAUUGGUUCAAAUUGUUACUUGAUUAAAAAGGGCUUUUAAAACCACGUAAUGCAGGCUAUGGUUCAUGGCUAUGAAAGAAAGGAAUUUCAAAGGCUCAAAAGGUGUUUGAGGAUUUCAAAGACCUAGGAUCAACAUCAAAUAUUCAUCAACUCUUUUUUCUAUUGGUGUCUUUGUAGAGGAAACGACAUAUAAUCUUGUUAACCUCAAAGAUCAGACUUCUCUUAAUAUAAAUCAUAAUGCAAAUCCACCUUUCUUUGAUGAAUAACCAACCUCAAUCAUCUGAUAACAUCAGAGGCUUUAUAAUGGAUACCAAAAGUCAUGUUUAUAGCUUAGUAUUUUUUCUAGUAUUGACUUUUGUUGUACCUUUCCUUGAUUGAAAUUUCUUUUGCUCUUCCUAGACUUUGAUAGGCGUUCUCCUUCUUUUAUCUUUGACUUGCCUUUAAGUGAAGGCAAUUUCAACUUAUUUUUAUUUUUAUUUUUUUUUCUCAUAGCCUUCCUCAAAAUUUUCUUAUAUGUCCACAGUCUAUGUGUUUUCUUUUAACCCUCUUUCAAUCAUUAAACUUUUUUUCUAAGCCUUCCCUUUUAUCCAUUAAUUAUAUCAAUGUCUUCAAAAUAUCUCUCAUUUGCCUCCGAUGUGGGGUGUGAUCCUAGUCAGAGUUUUUAUGAAAAGAAUAUUCUAUCCAGCUUAAAAUGAAACUACAAGGGAUAUAAUCUUUAGAAAGUGAAGGGAUAUCAAAGAUGGCCUUUUCUCAUUUCAAGUAAGGUCGGUUAGAACCGAUAAAUUUUGACCUCGUCUAGUAUAAAGAUUGGGACUUGUAAGCAUCAUGAUUCACGAGUGCAUAACUACUGAAAUCCACUACACGUCAUUAUGCAAACUGUUAAAACCUAGUUAUGUGGUGCGUGGUUCAAUUUUGUGUGUGAGCUCAAAAUUUAUGCGGUAAUCUCUUAUUGUUUAUCAUGUCAUUUCAACAAUCAUCGAGUAAUUUCUAUAAUCAAAACACUUUUAAUCUUCAGGAUUGAUUAACCUUUAUCGCAGGUUGGAGUUUGAUCAAAAUAUUUUGUCAUAAUGAAAUGUUAAACAUCUGUUGAUUUCAAAUGAGGUUUUGUUUUAUUUUGAAAAGCCAAAAGACACGUUAGAAAAAAACAAUUUAUGAAAAAACUAUAAAAUCUCAAACAUAUAAAAUCAGGACUUUCAUGAAAAAUAUUAUUGGGAAAUCAUGCCUAAAAAAAAUACACAAAUUGAAUCAAAUAUGUUUUAUUAAUAAAUAAAUAUUUUUAUCCUUUAUUAAUGAAGUUAAAAAAAUAUGCACUAUUUUUCAAAAUAAAGUAAGUAAAAUUUUAGAACAUAAAAUAUAACAUGUCUCUCAAGUUAAAGGACUUGAAUGUUAAUACUAUAGUUAUUAAACCCGGCUCGGGUUGACCCGGUCAAGGGGCCAGGUCCUGGGUUUCAUGGGUAAACCUGGGUCAACUCGGGUCAACUCAGAAAAAUUAAAAAAUAAUUAAAUUUUUAAUAUUUUAUAUGAAAAAAUUAAGAAAAAUAUCCAUGUAAAUAUAGAUUAUACAUAUUGUAAAUAAUGAAGUUUAAAAGAAUAUUUUAAAAAGUUUUUUAUCUCACAUUUAAAAGAUAUUAUGUUAAGCUUUUAAGUUGAAGUAUUUAAACCAAAAAAGUUUCUUAUCCCACAUUGAAAAAACAUAGUUUUUUUCUUGUGAACAUAGAGCAUAUAUAAUAAUGUUAAGCUUUUAUAUAUACUAAUGAGUUUCAAAUCUUACAUUGAAAAAAUAUAGUUUUUUUCUUGUGAAUAUUGAGUAUAUAUACUAAUGGGUUUUAAAUCUCAUAUUAAAAAGAUACUAUGUUAUCCUUUUAAGUUGAAGUAUUUAAACCAAAAAGUUUUUUAUCCCACAUUGAAAAAACAUAAUUUUUUUCUUGGGAACAUAGAGUAUAUAUACUAAUGGGUUUCAAAUCCCAUAUUUGAAAAAAAAAAAAAAAACCAGGUCUGGCCGAUUCUCACCCGGAUCACGGGUUGACCUGCCGGCUCGACUCGGUUUGAUCGGGUCGUUGCACUAACCAUUCUUUUGAAAAAUCCAGAGUGGUCUAGCUCCCAGAUCAGCCGGAUCCCGGAUCAACCCGUCAGGCCAGUUAGGAUUUAAUAACACUGGUUAAUACAAUACUGAGCAGAGAUACCUCGUUAUUAACAAAUUGACGCAACUAAUCAAAGCUCAAUAGUAGAUAUACGCAAAACAUAAUUAACCACUUUUUAGUUCUUACUAUUAAAGUGUUCACAUGUUGUCACGUGAUGUAAUAGAUAUUAGAGUAAAUAUUUAUAAGAAAGACAAUGAUUGGAUUUAUGGUGGAGCAAUGUAUUGUUUUAGUCAAAAUUAUCUUAUCAUAUUUUUCUUUUGUUUUGAGAAUUAAAUAUUUUUUUAUUAGUGUCAUAAUUUAUUGCAUAAAAAAUAAUGAUAGUUAAAAAAAAUAUGUUAUUGGUGGCUCUAGUGGCAACUAGAUCAAGGUCCUGUUACUUCAAGAGAAGCUUGUAAGAAUUCUAAAGAUUUGAAUUAAAAAAAACUUUAUUUUUUAUUCAUGUAUUUUUUUUUUUAUGAAAACAUAUAUUUUUUAUUAGAAUUUUUUUUAAAUAAGAACUUAUUAUAAUUAUAAAAGCAAGUUUCAAUAAAAAAACAUUAAAAAAAUAAUUAUGAGACGAUCAUUUAUGCACUUGUAUAAAUAAAUAUAAGAAAUUUACAAUAAAAAAUAUAAAAAAUUGAUAUUAUCUUUUUAUUAAAUAUUAAUGAGCAAUUUUUUAAAAUUAAGAUUUGUAUAUUAAGUUAAUAUAUAAUUAUUCAUAAAGUAAUUAUUAAUAUUAUCAUAAAAACUCUAAUCUUCUUGAAACUAUGACAUAAUUAUUUUAAUAUUAUUUUAAUAAAUUUAUUUAAAUAUAGUUUUAUAAUAAAAUUUAAAACUAAAUAAAAUAAAAAAAAAAGAAAAAAGUUAAGGGUUAUUUAACCAAAAAAGAAGAAGAAGAAGCUAGGUAUGUUUUGGUCUAAAAGAUGGACCAAUGUGACUAGUUUUCUUUUCUUUGCUUUUCUCCCUAUACGAGCACUUAAUUCUUUUAAUAUAACGGAUGACUUGUAGUCUGUCUUCUUGAUUAUUAACAUCAAGAUCAGUAUGUUUGUAAUCGGUAAGUCUUUGGCCAAACACUUUAUUGUUUUUUGGUGAUUUUCUUUUGUCUUUUCUUGAUAUUAAUGAAUUAAAUGUUAUAAAAAUAAAGUUUGAUAUUAAAAUAUAAAGUAUAGGAAAAUAAGGAUCAAAUAAUAUAUAAAUUAAAAUUUUAAAGAUUAAAUUGAAUUUCUUUUGAUUUCUGAAUAGUAUAAAUAGAAAAGGGUUUUAUUUUUGUUAAAUUCAACCUUUAUUUUUUUAAUUUUUUUAAAUAAUAAUAUAAUAUUUUAUCUCGGAUCAUCUAUCUUUAAUUUAACAUCGAACACUUUAUAUAUAUACCUGAGGGGAAAAUUUGAAAACAUAAAAUCAUAUUAAGAUGAGAUUUACAAAGAAAUGAAGUUGGAUAAUCAAAAUAAAAAAAAUACACAAAAGAAAUGAUACUAAAACACUUAUCUCUUUUAAUUUAUCUAUAAUUAUAAUAUAUUGUUGCAAUGGCUAUGAUAGCAACAAGAUGGCCUUUAUUUUUCAAUCAGCUAAUUAAAAGUGAUCCUUUUGGGCAUUGGAGUUUUGUCUUCCAUCAAAAACGUCACUUGGCAGCGCACCCAUAUCACCAACUAGACCCCUCACCAACCCCCAUUUUUAUACUAAUAUUUAAAGGAGUCCAACUUAGGUGAUAAAAAUCAUCAAACCAACCUCAAAAUCUUACCCUAAAGCAGAAUUUCUUUUCUUUUCUUUUCUCUAAAAACCAGCAUAUUUUAGAAAAAUAUUAGCAAACUAGCUUAUAUAGAAACGUUUCUAAAUACUCCCAAGACAGUUGGCGCAAAAAUUCACAUCACCGUACUUUGAAAAUGAAUUCUUGUAUUAACAUCACCGUACUUUGAAAAUGAUCUAUAGCAACUAAAAUUAUUUAGAGUAACUAGAGAGGUAUAAGUUAAUAAAAUUAAUUAGUUAGAUUUUGAAUUUGUUGUUUAAAAGUUAUUAGUUUGAGUUUUAUAAUAAAGAGAUUGUUUAAGAAAUGCCCUUGUUAGUUUUUAGCUUCAAUUAAGACCUCUUUGCUUGGAUUGCGUUAGUGACAAUUAAAUAGAAAAAUCCUCAGAAACUCCUCCUCACCGGUUCCCCUCUACCAUCACCUACUUGUAUAUUACCUCAACCAGAAAUCAAACCAAGUCCAAGCCAGGGAAGCAAGUAACCAUACACCUACCUUCUCCUUUGCUUCCCAAAGAUCAUUCUCUCUUUCAUUCUCUGUUCCAGACAAACAAUGGAGGCGGAAAAUGAUCAAGCACAAGAAUUCAUUUUCAGGUCCAAACUCCCUGAUAUCCAC